UCCAGGCGGGACCCCCUUGCUCACACACCCAAGGCCUCCUUCCUUCCUCCCUCCCCUCCUUCGCCCGCAGGGAGCGAGGAGAGGCACGGACCCGUCGGGAGAGAAAACCCCAGGCCUCUUCUGUAAGAUGGGCAGGAGCCAUGACAGUUCGCAUCAUUUGGAAGCAGCAAGACCUUCCCAUCCCCAUCUUCUCCCAAUAAAACAGAGGGGCCUUUAGAGAGAAGUCGAACUUCAGCCCAAACAGUACACAGACAAUAACGAUAAAUGAGAGCCAUCUAUUCCUCACAGGCUUGGCUGCUAGUGACC
This 306-nucleotide long non-coding RNA is filed under the name Dromaius novaehollandiae (emu). RNAcentral describes it as "lncRNA (ENSDNVG00000003996.1)". The record is from RNAcentral. Lineage: Eukaryota; Metazoa; Chordata; Aves; Casuariiformes; Dromaiidae.